GACAGAGGGUGCAAACGUUGUUCGGAAUUACUGGGCGUAAAGCGUGUGUAGGCGGCCAUAUAAGUCGGAUGUGAAAGCCCUGGGCUCAACCCAGGAAGUGCACUCGAUACUGUAUGGCUAGAGUACUGGAGAGGUUGGUGGAAUUCUCGGUGUAGAGGUGAAAUUCGUAGAUAUCGAGAGGAACACCGGUGGCGAAGGCGGCCAACUGGACAGAUACUGACGCUGAGACACGAAAGCGUGGGGAGCAAACAGG
RNAcentral lists this ribosomal RNA (253 nucleotides) under uncultured bacterium. RNAcentral's name for it is "partial 16S ribosomal RNA". It matches the Rfam family "Bacterial small subunit ribosomal RNA", at positions 524 to 776 of the family's 1533-position model. The record is from RNAcentral.